This 468-nucleotide ribosomal RNA is filed under the name uncultured bacterium. RNAcentral describes it as "partial 16S ribosomal RNA". It matches the Rfam family "Bacterial small subunit ribosomal RNA", at positions 28 to 507 of the family's 1533-position model. The record is from RNAcentral.
GACGAACGCUGGCGGCGUGCUUAACACAUGCAAGUCGAACGGAAAGGCCCUGCUUUUGCGGGGUGCUCGAGUGGCGAACGGGUGAGUAACACGUGAGUAACCUGCCCUUGACUUUGGGAUAACUUCAGGAAACUGGGGCUAAUACCGGAUAGGAGCUCCUGCUGCAUGGUGGGGGUUGGAAAGUUUCGGCGGUUGGGGAUGGACUCGCGGCUUAUCAGCUUGUUGGUGGGGUAGUGGCUUACCAAGGCUUUGACGGGUAGCCGGCCUGAGAGGGUGACCGGCCACAUUAGGACUGAGAGACGGCCCAGACUCCUACGGGAGGCAGCAGUGGGGAAUAUUGCACAAUGGGCGGAAGCCUGAUGCAGCAACGCCGCGUGCGGGAUGACGGCCUUCGGGUUGUAAACCGCUUUCGCCUGUGACGAAGCGGGAGUGACGGUAAUGGGUAAAGAAGCACCGGCUAACUACGUG